This 497-nucleotide ribosomal RNA is filed under the name uncultured bacterium. Its description in RNAcentral is "partial 16S ribosomal RNA". It matches the Rfam family "Bacterial small subunit ribosomal RNA", at positions 28 to 507 of the family's 1533-position model. The record is from RNAcentral.
GAUGAACGCUGGCGGCGUGCCUAAUACAUGCAAGUCGAGCGAACAGACGAGGAGCUUGCUCCUCUGACGUUAGCGGCGGACGGGUGAGUAACACGUGGAUAACCUACCUAUAAGACUGGGAUAACUUCGGGAAACCGGAGCUAAUACCGGAUAAUAUAUUGAACCGCAUGGUUCAAUAGUGAAAGACGGUUUUGCUGUCACUUAUAGAUGGAUCCGCGCCGCAUUAGCUAGUUGGUAAGGUAACGGCUUACCAAGGCGACGAUGCGUAGCCGACCUGAGAGGGUGAUCCGCCACACUGGAACUGAGACACGGUCCCGAAUCCUAAGGGAGGCAGCAGUAGGGAAUCUUUCGGAAUGGGCGAAAGCCUGACGGAGCAAAGCCGCGUGAGUGAUGAAGGUCUUCGGAUUGUAAAACUCUGUUAUUAGGGAAGAAAAAAUGUGUAAGUAACUAUGCACGUCUUGACGGUAACUAAUGAAAAAGCCACGGCUAACUACGUG